UACGAAGGGUGCAAGCGUUACUCGGAAUUACUGGGCGUAAAGCGUGUGUAGGUGGUUUUUUAAGUCCGUUGUGAAAGCCCUGGGCUCAACCUGGGAAUGGCAGUGGAUACUGGAAAGCUAGAGUGCGGUAGAGGGUAGUGGAAUUCCCGGUGUAGCAGUGAAAUGCGUAGAGAUCGGGAGGAACACCAGUGGCGAAGGCGGCUUCCUGGACCAGCACUGACACUGAGGCACGAAAGCGUGGGGAGCAAACAGG
Molecule: ribosomal RNA, 253 nt
Filed under: uncultured bacterium
Lineage: Bacteria
Description: partial 16S ribosomal RNA
Rfam family: Bacterial small subunit ribosomal RNA
Source: RNAcentral